UACGGAGGGUGCAAGCGUUGCUCGGAAUUAUUGGGCGUAAAGGGCAGGUAGGUGGUCUCAUUUGUCUGGGGUGAAAUCCUUGAGCUUAACUCAAGAACUGCCCUAGAAACGGUGAGACUGGAGUGCUGGAGAGGGUCGUGGAAUUCCCGGUGUAGCGGUGAAAUGCGUAGAGAUCGGGAGGAACACCAGAGGCGAAGGCGGCGACCUGGACAGUGACUGACACUCAACUGCGAAAGCGUGGGGAGCAAACCGG
Molecule: ribosomal RNA, 253 nt
Filed under: uncultured bacterium
Lineage: Bacteria
Description: partial 16S ribosomal RNA
Rfam family: Bacterial small subunit ribosomal RNA
Source: RNAcentral